UACAUGGGGUGCAAACGUUGCUCGGAAUUAUUGGGCGUAAAGCGCACGUAGGCGGUUCGUUAAGUCGGAUGUGAAAGCCCUCGGCUCAACUGAGGAAGUGCACCCGAAACUGGCGAGCUUGAGUACGAAAGAGGAUCGCGGAAUUCCCGGUGUAGAGGUGAAAUUCGUAGAUAUCGGAAGGAACACCGGUGGCGAAAGCGGCGCGCUGGAUCCCUACUGACGCUGAGGCACGAAAGCCAGGGGAGCAAACGGG
Molecule: ribosomal RNA, 253 nt
Filed under: uncultured bacterium
Lineage: Bacteria
Description: partial 16S ribosomal RNA
Rfam family: Bacterial small subunit ribosomal RNA
Source: RNAcentral